GACGAACGCUGGCGGCGUGCCUAAUACAUGCAAGUCGAGCGGACCAAAGGGAGCUUGCUCCUGGAGGUUAGCGGCGAACGGGUGAGUAACACGUGGGCAACCUGCCUGUAAGACUGGGAUAACAUCGAGAAAUCGGUGCUAAUACCGGAUAAUAAAAAGAACUGCAUGGUUCUUUUUGAAAGAUGGUUUCGGCUAUCACUUACAGAUGGGCCCGCGGCGCAUUAGCUAGUUGGUGAGGUAACGGCUCACCAAGGCGACGAUGCGUAGCCGACCUGAGAGGGUGAUCGGCCACACUGGGACUGAGACACGGCCCAGACUCCUACGGGAGGCAGCAGUAGGGGAAUCUUCCGCAAUGGACGAAAGUCUGACGGAGCAACGCCGCGUGAGUGAUGAAGGUUUUCGGAUCGUAAAACUCUGUUGUUAGGGAAGAACAAGUGCCGUUCGAAAGGGCGGCACCUUGACGGUACCUAACGAGAAAGCCAACGGCUAACUACGUGCCAGCAGCCGCGGUAAAGU
RNAcentral lists this ribosomal RNA (516 nucleotides) under uncultured bacterium. RNAcentral's name for it is "bacterial SSU rRNA". It matches the Rfam family "Bacterial small subunit ribosomal RNA", at positions 28 to 526 of the family's 1533-position model. The record is from RNAcentral.